Regulatory RNA element from Bacillus infantis NRRL B-14911, 85 nucleotides. It matches the Rfam family "c-di-GMP-I riboswitch aptamer". Rfam says of the family: GEMM was predicted in a large-scale screen for bacterial structured RNA regulatory elements. Genes associated with GEMM are involved in a diverse array of functions, including chemotaxis regulation, signal transduction, secretion and chitin. Lineage: Bacteria; Bacillati; Bacillota; Bacilli; Caryophanales; Bacillaceae. The record is from Rfam.
UAAAUAUACAGGCAAAUUCAUCGAAAGGUGAAGACGCAAAACUAUAGGGGCUAAAGCCAAAAGGCUAUGUCUGCCAGUUACCGAU